UUAUGCUAGGAUGUGAUGGGGAAGCCCUCCUGGGCGAAGUAGCUGAUUUCACACUGUCAAGAAAAGCUUCUAUCGAGUUUAAAGGCGCCCGUACCGUAAACCGACACAGGUGGGUGAGGAGAGUAUCCUAAGGCCAGCGAGAGAACUAUUGUUAAGGAACUCGGCAAAAUGACCCCGUAACUUAGGGAGAAGGGGUGCCUGUCUAUGACAGGCCGCAGAGAAUAGGCCCAAGCGACUGUUUACCAAAAACACAGGUUUCUGCUAAGUCGCAAGACGAUGUAUAGGAGCUGACGCCUGCCCGGUGCUGGAAGGUUAAGGGGAUCUGUUAGAGCAAUCGAAGCAGUGAACUUAAGCCCCAGUAAACGGCGGCCGUAACAAUAACGGUCCUAAGGUAGCGAAAUUCCUUGUCGGGUAAGUUCCGACCCGCACGAAAGGCGUAACGAUUUGGGCACUGUCUCAACAAUAGACUCGGUGAAAUUGUAAUCCCGGUGAAGAUGCCGGGUACCUGCGACAGGACGGAAAGACCCCAUGGAGCUUUACUGUAGCUUGACGUUGGGUCUUGGUACUACAUGUACAGGAUAGGUGGGAGACUAUGAAGCAUGGACGCCAGUCUGUGUGGAGUCAUCCUUGGGAUACCACCCUUGUAGUACUGGGAUCCUAACCAUAGGCCUUGAAUCAGGUCUUGGAACACCGUCAGGUGGGCAGUUUGACUGGGCCGGUCGCCUCCUAAAAAGUAACGGAGGCGCUCAAAGGUUUCCUCAGCACGGUCGGAAAUCGUGCGAAGAGUGUAAAGGCAAAAGGAAGCUUGAUUGCAAGACAUACAGGUCGAGCAAGGACGAAAGUCGGACUUAGUGAUCCGGUGGUACCGCAUGGAAGGGCCAUCGCUCAACGGAUAAAAGCUACCCUGGGGAUAACAAGCUUAUCUCCCCCAAGAGUCCACAUCGACGGGGAGGUUUGGCACCUCAAUGUCGGCUCAUCACAUCCUGGGGCUGUAGUAGGUCCCAAGGGUUGGGCUGUUCGCCCAUUAAAGUGGUACGCGAGCUGGGUUCAGAACGUCGUGAGACAGUUCGGUCCCUAUCCGUCGCAGGCGUAGGAAAUUUGAGAAGACCUGUCCUUAGUACGAGAGGACCGGGAUGGACGUACCUCUGGUGUACCAGUUGUUCUGCCAAGGGCAUGGCUGGGUAGCUAUGUACGGAAUGGAUAAGCGCUGAAAGCAUCUAAGCGCGAAGCCAACUUCAAGAUAAGAUUUCCCACCGUAAGGGUAAGACCCCAGGAAGACUACCUGGUUGAUAGGUCGAAGGUGUAAGUGCAGUAAUGUAUUUAGCUUAUCGAUACUAAUAGGUCGAGGACUUGACCU
This 1357-nucleotide ribosomal RNA is filed under the name metagenome. RNAcentral's name for it is "bacterial LSU rRNA". It matches the Rfam family "Bacterial large subunit ribosomal RNA", at positions 1551 to 2925 of the family's 2925-position model. The record is from RNAcentral.